AAUCAACGCUGGCGGCGUGCCUCAGACAUGCAAGUCGAACGCGAAAGUUCCCUUCGGGGGAUAAGUAGAGUGGCGUCCGGGUGAGUAACACGUAGGUAAUCUACCUUUGGGUGGGGAAUAACAACCGGAAACGGUUGCUAAUACCGCAUAAUGCAGCGGCACCACAUGGUGACAGUUGUUAAAGCGGGGGGAUCGCAAGACCUCGCGCCUAAAGAGGAGCCUGCGGCGGAUUAGCUAGNGGUAGGGUAACGGCCUACCAAGGCAACGAUCCGUAGCCGGCCUGAGAGGGCGGGUCGGCCACACUGACACUGAAAUACGGGUCAGACUCCUACGGGAGGCAGCAGUCGGGAAUUUUGGGCAAUGGGCGAAAGCCUGACCCAGCAACGCCGCGUGAAGGAUGAAA
Molecule: ribosomal RNA, 403 nt
Filed under: uncultured bacterium
Lineage: Bacteria
Description: bacterial SSU rRNA
Rfam family: Bacterial small subunit ribosomal RNA
Source: RNAcentral